GAUGAACGCUGGCGGCGUGCCUAAUACAUGCAAGUCGAGCGAACGGACGAGAAGCUUGCUUCUCUGAUGUUAGCGGCGGACGGGUGAGUAACACGUGGAUAACCUACCUAUAAGACUGGGAUAACUUCGGGAAACCGUAGCUAAUACCGGAUAAUAUUUUGAACCGCAUGGUUCAAAAGUGAAAGACGGUCUUGCUGUCACUUAUAGAUGGAUCCGCGCUGCAUUAGCUAGUUGGUAAGGUAACGGCUUACCAAGGCAACGAUGCAUAGCCGACCUGAGAGGGUGAUCCGCCACCCUGGAACUGAGAAACGGUCCCGACCUCUAACGGGAGGCGCCGGAGGGGAUUCUUCGGCAUGGGCCGAAACCUGGCGGAGCCAAGGCGGCGUAGGUAUGAAAGUUCUUCGAUUCGUAAAAUCCGGUAUUAGGGAAGAACAUAUGUGUAAGUAACUGUGCACAUCUUGACGGUACAUAAUCAGAAAGCCACGGCUAACUACGUG
Molecule: ribosomal RNA, 497 nt
Filed under: uncultured bacterium
Lineage: Bacteria
Description: partial 16S ribosomal RNA
Rfam family: Bacterial small subunit ribosomal RNA
Source: RNAcentral